Molecule: long non-coding RNA, 2739 nt
Organism: Gambusia affinis (western mosquitofish)
Lineage: Eukaryota; Metazoa; Chordata; Actinopteri; Cyprinodontiformes; Poeciliidae
Exons: 3
Source: RefSeq, a predicted model, not a curated record
UUGAAUAUUUGUUUUAUAUUCACCUAAUUUUAUUUUCUUUGAGAUGAACAUAGUUUAGUUUUUACAGUGAACUGAAGUUGGACUGUGAAUUUACUGUUAGUUGUAAGGUUAUUAACAAAAUCUAUAUUGGGAAUUAAAAUGUUAUUUUUCAUAUUUACAACACAAUAAUGUAUUUUAUACAAUGACAGUGGCCUGGUGACAUGUUUCUUAUUUUGGACAUUUUAUUUAGAGUCUUUGAGGCACAGAUUGAGCGCCACUUGUAGGUUGUUCAGACAGGAAGAGUAUGUGGCUUUUCUAUUCAGCCGUGUUCCAUUAUCAGGCUGUAUUUUACCCUGGGAGAUAUAGGCCUCCUGGACCACGCCUCCUAAAAAAAGAACAUUUUGUUCACAGAACUACACAGGUUUGCAUUGCAGACCACGUGUCACAUUAAGUAACAAGCUCUGAGGUCAACUUACUCAACUUCUUGCACAUUUUUUAAGGCGGUGUAAUGUGUUGCUACAUGCUGGCCCACAGUGUGAAAUCAGUUCGAAGCUGGGUCGGAUUUAAUUUGGAUUUUCUGAUCGGAUUUUUAGUGGCCAGGUUUUACUCUUCGGAUUGGAUCAGAAACCUCCCCCGGAUCCCUUCACCCCGUCUUUUAGUCGACUUUUCAAAGCAUAAUUUGAGUGUGCAGGCUUGAAGAAGUCACCGCGUGGGUGGGAAAAAUGGGUCAUUGGCUGUGAUCGCAACAUCAUCCUCAGCUGCGGAGGUAGGUGUGAAGAGUGCUGAUCUCAGAUCACCUGCAAUCUAAUAUAAAACAGACACAAUGAUACAGAUAUGAAUUAUAUUUUAUUUGCAGAUGCAUCCUUUGCUACAAAUAAUCAAGCGUUCACUGUUAUUGCAUUUUAGGUAAGAUAAUAUUUAUUUAGCAUUUACCAAAAGAUAAUUAAAUUGCUUAUUUGCAUUUCCUUUCUCAUAUUGUAUAUAAUAAUUUUAAGUAGUUAAAUCAAAAAUUUGCAGAAAUGUUUUUUUUUUUUAGCUGACAUUGAUUAAUUGUCGUAUUAAUUAAUAGAAUAAAUCAGUAACAAUAAUAAUAGAAUUGUUAGCUACAGCUCUGUGUGUGUGUGUGUGUGUGUGUGUAUUUAUGUAUGUAUGUAAAAACUAAAAUAAAUGCAAAAUCUGAAAUAAAUGCAAAUAAAAGGGGGAAAAUAGCCAGCAAGCCACAGGAGAUAAAACAGAAGAACCAGACAACAAACACCAGAGCAGGCCAUGAGUUGAGUUUGAAUCUCUGAGUCUUAAAUUCAGUUAUCUGAUAUAACAUAAACUACCUUUCACUCUGCAUUUUACUUAUCUCUUUCAAUUUUCAAACGUGGAAGAAGCUUAAUUUUGUAUCAUAUAAUAAUUAUGCGUUAUUUUUUUUGACAUCCUUCAAACUUCUGAGAUAUAAAAUCUUGAUUUUAUUUUGUAUAUCUAGUAAAGGUUUUAGUUGCAUUGUGAAAUAUUGACUGAUUUUCAUUGAAAACAUAUCAAUAGAUGUGGUUUGAUCACCUCUGAGCCUUAAAAUGCAGAAACCACAGAACUUAUGAACCAGAUUGUUUGGAUUUUUUUACUCAAGAGUAUAGCUGAAACAAUUACUGAAAUGACUGACAACUAAUUUAGAAAUUGAAUAAUUAACUCAGGGAUGCAGAUUUAAAAGGAGGCCAUUUGCUGAAAAAAACCCCCAAACAAACUCAGGGCAGUAAUUAAUCCAAAAUUGUAAUGAUAUAAACAUUUAGCAUUUAAGUUAAAACACCUUCUUUGUAUGAUCUACCCAGAACACCUCUAUUGGCAGUUUUAGGUUAACCUAGAUUAAAUUCUGUAAAAAUUAUAAUAAAAUAAUCUCCUAACAAGCAUCUUUUGUGAUCAAAUUAUUAAUCAUUUAGUCCAAAAAAAAAUCAGCAGAUCAGUCCUAGGCUGUAUUGAUGUUAUGUAAAGCAGAAUGACUGAACUUUUCACAUGUUGAUGUUAGAGAUAUUUUCUUUGCGGUUCUUUAAAAAAUUAUUGAAAUAUUUAUUUAUUUUGCGUCUAAGUUUGAAUAAAAUAAGCUCAAGUGAAAAAUUUAAAAUCAGCAGAAUUUAGAUUUUUUCCCCCCUGCUAUUAAUUGAUCAAUUGUUAGAAUACUUAAUAGAAUAUUCAAUUAUUUAAAUAAUUGUUAGUUUCUGCCCUACUCCUGGCAAAUUUUCUUUAUGAUUUAGAGUUUGUUGUUGUUUGCUGGGACUCUCACUUGGAAAAGCACUGUUCCUCUGUGACCUGGGUGGGCAUUUCCUUCUCCCAUUCAGCUUUAAUCUGUGUAGUUGAGGAAAGAAUCUUUGGUCUGAGCAUAAGGAGAUUUAAGCUCAGUGUUUUGUCUGUUGAUGAAAAAAGAAAUUUUUACACCCUUUUGAAACUUUGACAGAAAUGAAAUUAUUUAUUUUUCCUCCCAAUACACCAGUUUCUUAAUUAAGAAUUAGAUGCAUGAUAAAUGUACAAUUUUAUCAAGUUGUUGUACUGUUUAUCUGUCAAGUUUUCUUGCACUAUCCAGAGCUGUCUUUGGACAAUGAGCUAAAAAAUAGUAAAAACAAAACAAAAAAACAAAAAAAUCUCUUAAACUGCUACAGAAUGUGUUAAAUCGGACCCCAAUUUGCUCCUUUGGAGGAUAUGUAGGAAGUCACAACAAAAACAUUAAGUAGUCUAGAUCACUUUUUAUCAAGCAAUAAAAAUAUACAUUUUACGGAAGAGGAUUAG